AGUCUCCCUAUGCUUACCACAGGCAGCGCAGCUCCAGCGCUGACUGUAUAGAAAGGGGAGAUACAGAAUCAGGGCCCUACAAACACCCCAGCCAGGCUGCCCCUCUUGCCUGGGCUGUAUUGUUAGUAAGGGCACAAGA
Small nucleolar RNA from Sceloporus undulatus (fence lizard), 139 nucleotides. RefSeq annotates it as small nucleolar RNA SNORA51. The transcript has a single exon. NCBI's taxonomy places the organism in Eukaryota, Metazoa, Chordata, Lepidosauria, Squamata, Phrynosomatidae. The record is from RefSeq and is a predicted model, not a curated record.